UACGGGGGGGGCAAGCGUUGUUCGGAAUUACUGGGCGUAAAGGGUUCGUAGGUGGCUUGCUAAGUCAGACGUGAAAUCCCUCAGCUUAACUGGGGAACUGCGUCUGAGACUGGCAAGCUUGAGUGCAGGAGAGGAAUGCGGAAUUCCAGGUGUAGCGGUGAAAUGUGUAGAUAUUGGGAGGAACACCAGUGGCGAAGGCGGCUCACUGGACCGGAACUGACGCUGAGGCGCGAAAGCGUGGGGAGCAAACAGG
Molecule: ribosomal RNA, 253 nt
Filed under: uncultured bacterium
Lineage: Bacteria
Description: partial 16S ribosomal RNA
Rfam family: Bacterial small subunit ribosomal RNA
Source: RNAcentral